CUUACCUGGGCUUGACAUGUACGUAGUAGUGAAGGGAAACCGGAACGAGCCUUCGGGCAGCGUAGACAGGUGCUGCAUGGCUGUCGUCAGCUCGUGUCGUGAGAUGUUGGGUUAAGUCCCGCAACGAGCGCAACCCGUGUUGCUAGUUACAAGUGUCUAGCGAGACUGCCGGUAACAAGCCGGAGGAAGGUGCGGAUGAUGUCAAGUCAGCAUGGCCUAUAUGUCCAGGGCUACACACACGCUACAAUGGCUGGUACAAAGAGAAGCGAAAGGGAGACCUGAAGCGAAUCUCAUCAAAGCCAGUCAUAGUUCGGAUUGCAGGCUGCAACUCGCCUGCAUGAAGUCGGAGUUGCUAGUAACCGCAGGUCAGCAAUACUGCGGUGAAUACGUUCCCGGGCCUUGUACACAC
This 409-nucleotide ribosomal RNA is filed under the name uncultured bacterium. Its description in RNAcentral is "bacterial SSU rRNA". It matches the Rfam family "Bacterial small subunit ribosomal RNA", at positions 970 to 1390 of the family's 1533-position model. The record is from RNAcentral.